UACAGAGGUGGCAAGCGUUGUUCGGAAUUACUGGGCGUAAAGGGCGCGUAGGCGGCCAUCUAAGUCAGACGUGAAAUCCCCCGGCUUAACCUGGGAACUGCGUCUGAUACUGGACGGCUUGAGUGCGGGAGAGGGAUGUGGAAUUCCAGGUGUAGCGGUGAAAUGCGUAGAUAUCUGGAGGAACACCGGUGGCGAAGGCGGCAUCCUGGACCAACACUGACGCUGAGGAGCGAAAGCCAGGGGAGCAAACGGG
Molecule: ribosomal RNA, 253 nt
Filed under: uncultured bacterium
Lineage: Bacteria
Description: partial 16S ribosomal RNA
Rfam family: Bacterial small subunit ribosomal RNA
Source: RNAcentral